Small nuclear RNA from Paramormyrops kingsleyae, 103 nucleotides. NCBI's taxonomy places the organism in Eukaryota, Metazoa, Chordata, Actinopteri, Osteoglossiformes, Mormyridae. The record is from Ensembl.
AUAUACUGGCUAGACUUAUAAUAAAAUUAAAAUGAUACAGAAAAGAUUAGCAUGGCCCCUGUGCAUGGAUGUGAAAAAUUAUAUAUAGCGAUGGAGUGUGGAU